This 334-nucleotide unclassified non-coding RNA is filed under the name soil metagenome. Its description in RNAcentral is "partial contains 5.8S ribosomal RNA, internal transcribed spacer 2, and large subunit ribosomal RNA". The stretch from base 1 to 120 matches the Rfam family "5.8S ribosomal RNA", at positions 35 to 154 of the family's 154-position model. The record is from RNAcentral.
GAUGAAGAACGCAGCGAAAUGCGAUAAGUAGUGUGAAUUGCAGAAUUCAGUGAAUCAUCGAAUCUUUGAACGCACAUUGCGCCCCUUGGUAUUCCAUGGGGCAUGCCUGUUUGAGCGUCAUUUGUACCUUCAAGCUUUGCUUGGUGUUGGGUGUUUGUCCAUUCUCUUGCAGAGGGACUCGCCUUAAAGUAAUUGGCAGCCAGUGUUUUGGUUUUGAAGCGCAGCACAAGUCGCGAUUCAAAGCUAUACGCCCGCUUCCUCAAGCCUUUUUCACUUUUGACCUCGGAUCAGGUAGGGAUACCCGCUGAACUUAAGCAUAUCAAUAAGCGGAGGA